RNAcentral lists this ribosomal RNA (1271 nucleotides) under Lactiplantibacillus plantarum. RNAcentral describes it as "bacterial SSU rRNA". It matches the Rfam family "Bacterial small subunit ribosomal RNA", at positions 200 to 1458 of the family's 1533-position model. Lineage: Bacteria; Bacillati; Bacillota; Bacilli; Lactobacillales; Lactobacillaceae. The record is from RNAcentral.
UUGAAAGAUGGCUUCGGCUAUCACUUUUGGAUGGUCCCGCGGCGUAUUAGCUAGAUGGUGGGGUAACGGCUCACCAUGGCAAUGAUACGUAGCCGACCUGAGAGGGUAAUCGGCCACAUUGGGACUGAGACACGGCCCAAACUCCUACGGGAGGCAGCAGUAGGGAAUCUUCCACAAUGGACGAAAGUCUGAUGGAGCAACGCCGCGUGAGUGAAGAAGGGUUUCGGCUCGUAAAACUCUGUUGUUAAAGAAGAACAUAUCUGAGAGUAACUGUUCAGGUAUUGACGGUAUUUAACCAGAAAGCCACGGCUAACUACGUGCCAGCAGCCGCGGUAAUACGUAGGUGGCAAGCGUUGUCCGGAUUUAUUGGGCGUAAAGCGAGCGCAGGCGGUUUUUUAAGUCUGAUGUGAAAGCCUUCGGCUCAACCGAAGAAGUGCAUCGGAAACUGGGAAACUUGAGUGCAGAAGAGGACAGUGGAACUCCAUGUGUAGCGGUGAAAUGCGUAGAUAUAUGGAAGAACACCAGUGGCGAAGGCGGCUGUCUGGUCUGUAACUGACGCUGAGGCUCGAAAGUAUGGGUAGCAAACAGGAUUAGAUACCCUGGUAGUCCAUACCGUAAACGAUGAAUGCUAAGUGUUGGAGGGUUUCCGCCCUUCAGUGCUGCAGCUAACGCAUUAAGCAUUCCGCCUGGGGAGUACGGCCGCAAGGCUGAAACUCAAAGGAAUUGACGGGGGCCCGCACAAGCGGUGGAGCAUGUGGUUUAAUUCGAAGCUACGCGAAGAACCUUACCAGGUCUUGACAUACUAUGCAAAUCUAAGAGAUUAGACGUUCCCUUCGGGGACAUGGAUACAGGUGGUGCAUGGUUGUCGUCAGCUCGUGUCGUGAGAUGUUGGGUUAAGUCCCGCAACGAGCGCAACCCUUAUUAUCAGUUGCCAGCAUUAAGUUGGGCACUCUGGUGAGACUGCCGGUGACAAACCGGAGGAAGGUGGGGAUGACGUCAAAUCAUCAUGCCCCUUAUGACCUGGGCUACACACGUGCUACAAUGGAUGGUACAACGAGUUGCGAACUCGCGAGAGUAAGCUAAUCUCUUAAAGCCAUUCUCAGUUCGGAUUGUAGGCUGCAACUCGCCUACAUGAAGUCGGAAUCGCUAGUAAUCGCGGAUCAGCAUGCCGCGGUGAAUACGUUCCCGGGCCUUGUACACACCGCCCGUCACACCAUGAGAGUUUGUAACACCCAAAGUCGGUGGGGUAACCUUUUAGGAACCAGCCGCCU